This 1137-nucleotide long non-coding RNA is filed under the name Olea europaea subsp. europaea. The record is from RNAcentral. Lineage: Eukaryota; Viridiplantae; Streptophyta; Magnoliopsida; Lamiales; Oleaceae.
CCAUAUGAGAUAAGGCUAGUAUAGAUUUUUCCAAACCAUUGUCGAGACGCUUGUUUGAGUCCAACAAGUUCUUAUUCAGUUUGCAAACCAAUAAAGGAUCAUGUGUAAAAUAACUUUGUGGUAGCCUCAUAUAGACUUCCGCAUCCUAUUAAGUAUAUCCUUUAACAACCAGCCGCGCUUUGUAUCUUUCCAUAGUGCCACCUGCCUUGAACUUAACUUUAUAAACACAUUUGCAUCCAAUAACAUGUUUGUCAUGUGGCAGAUACAUGAGGGUCCAAGUAUUAUUCUUUCAAGAGCUUUGAUUUCUGUAUUCAUAGCUUCAUGCUAGUAUGGAUAUUUGACAGAUUGUCGAGUGAAUUUAGGUUCAAAGACUGUUAGGGGGCUAAUCGAUUAGGUGAAAUGAAAUGAGGUAAGGAAUAAGGUUUACCUGAUCACAUGGUCUGGCCAGCAUUGUAGAAGACUGGAUUACAGUGAAAGAAGAGGAUAAAUCACAAUGAUAAUCAUUUAGAUAAGAAAGUAGAUGUCUAGUUCUAUUAGAUUGUCAGGAGGAAGUUAAGGGGGAGAAAUAGGUAUGCUAAUGUCUGAUAACUCAGGAGAGUGUGAAAGAGGACUAAAAUUGGGAUUUUCUGGCAAUGAUAGUUAAGAAACAUGAUCACAAAUUGUAUCGGCAAAGACAGUUUUUGAGAUAAAUGAAGUAGAGAUGAUGUUGAGGGCUAGUAUUUGGGUUGUUUGUGAUGUGGAAUAAAAAAUAGGCUCAAGUAUAGGAAAAAAGUGUGGAUUUGUAGGUGAGUGAUGUAAUGAGGACUGUUUGCAGGGAAAUGAAUUUUCAUGGAAAAUUAUAUUCCUGCUAAUAAAGAUUUUUUGAGUUUGUAAAUCAUAUACUUUGUAACCUUUGUAUCUAAGAGGGUAUCCAAGAAAUAUGCACUUGGAUGCUUGAGGAGAAAACUUUAUUUGUGAACAUUGAGUAUAGAUGCAAAGCAAAGGCAACCAAAAGUUUUAAGAUGGUCAUAUUAUGGUGGCUUUUGGAAGAGCUGCUCAUAAGGAGUUUUUUUUUUUUUUUUUUGCCAAGAAUGGGUGAUGGAAUACGAUUUAUGAGGUGAACUGUUGUAAGUGUGCAAUCACUCCAACAGGUGAGAG